RNAcentral lists this ribosomal RNA (250 nucleotides) under uncultured bacterium. Its description in RNAcentral is "partial 16S ribosomal RNA". It matches the Rfam family "Bacterial small subunit ribosomal RNA", at positions 524 to 773 of the family's 1533-position model. The record is from RNAcentral.
UACGAAGGGGGCUAGCGUUGCUCGGAAUUACUGGGCGUAAAGGGAGCGUAGGCGGGUUAUCAAGUUGGAGGUGAAAGCCCAGGGCUCAACCUUGGAAUUGCCUUCAAAACUGAUAACCUAGAGGAUAGAAGAGGUAAGUGGAACUCCGAGUGUAGAGGUGAAAUUCGUAGAUAUUCGGAAGAACACCAGUGGCGAAGGCGACUUACUGGUCUAUUACUGACGCUGAGGCUCGAAAGCGUGGGGAGCAAAC